Octopus bimaculoides (California two-spot octopus) is the source of this 72-nucleotide non-coding RNA. Lineage: Eukaryota; Metazoa; Mollusca; Cephalopoda; Octopoda; Octopodidae. The record is from Rfam.
GGCUCGUUGGUCUAGGGGUAUGAUUUUCGCUUUGGGUGCGAGAGGUCCCGGGUUCGAAUCCCGGACGAGCCC